This is a ribosomal RNA of 255 nucleotides. The stretch from base 102 to 255 matches the Rfam family "5.8S ribosomal RNA". Rfam says of the family: 5.8S ribosomal RNA (5.8S rRNA) is a component of the large subunit of the eukaryotic ribosome. It is transcribed by RNA polymerase I as part of the 45S precursor that also contains 18S and 28S rRNA. Functionally, it is thought that 5.8S rRNA may be involved in ribosome translocation.
AUGUGUCGGCCGCCCACCGGUUUCGACUGGAGCGCGUCCGCAAAGACCUAACCAAAACUCAUGUUGUCUUUGUCGUCUCAGCUUUAUUAUUGAAUUGAUAAAACUUUCAACAACGGAUCUCUUGGCUCUGGCAUCGAUGAAGAACGCAGCNAAAUGCGAUAAGUAAUGUGAAUUGCAGAAUUUAGUGAAUCAUCGAAUCUUUGAACGCACAUUGCGCCCCUUGGUAUUCCGAGGGGCAUGCCUGUUCGAGCGUCA